This is a non-coding RNA of Odocoileus virginianus texanus, 72 nucleotides long. NCBI's taxonomy places the organism in Eukaryota, Metazoa, Chordata, Mammalia, Artiodactyla, Cervidae. The record is from the annotation of a RefSeq genome assembly.
UCCCUAGUGGUCCAGUGGUUAGGGCUCAGAACUUCCACUGCCGGGGUCCAGGUUCAAUCCCUGGUUGGGGAA